UUAAUCAGAUCCACGGCGGUAGGCAUUGAAGGUUUGUCGGACGAAUCUAGUGUCGAAAAAAGAAAGAUGUUCGGAAUCUUUGUGGCGGCACGUACAAAAGGUUUUAUGAUUUGUUUAUGAUUUUAUGAGAAAAAGCAUCUUACAAACUUGAAAACAGAAAAUACAAACGAAGAGAACAUAUUUGCCUACCUUGAGAAUUGC
This 201-nucleotide long non-coding RNA is filed under the name Nicotiana benthamiana. RNAcentral's name for it is "long non-coding RNA (NBEN_LNC003770)". Lineage: Eukaryota; Viridiplantae; Streptophyta; Magnoliopsida; Solanales; Solanaceae. The record is from RNAcentral.